UACGUAGGUGGCGAGCGUUGUCCGGAUUUAUUGGGUUUAAAGGGUGCGUAGGCGGCCUGAUAAGUCAGUGCUGAAAUAUCCCGGCUUAACCGGGAAGGUGGCAUUGAUACUGUUGGGCUUGAGUGGAGUCGAGGUAGGCGGAAUUGACGGUGUAGCGGUGAAAUGCUUAGAUAUCGUCAAGAACACCGAUAGUGUAGACAGCUUACUAGGUUUCAACUGACGCUGAGGCACGAAAGUGUGGGGAUCAAACAGG
This 253-nucleotide unclassified non-coding RNA is filed under the name uncultured Cytophagales bacterium. Its description in RNAcentral is "contains 16S-23S intergenic spacer region". It matches the Rfam family "Bacterial small subunit ribosomal RNA", at positions 524 to 776 of the family's 1533-position model. Lineage: Bacteria; Pseudomonadati; Bacteroidota; Sphingobacteriia; Sphingobacteriales. The record is from RNAcentral.